This 480-nucleotide ribosomal RNA is filed under the name uncultured bacterium. RNAcentral's name for it is "bacterial SSU rRNA". It matches the Rfam family "Bacterial small subunit ribosomal RNA", at positions 42 to 518 of the family's 1533-position model. The record is from RNAcentral.
ACAGGCUAACACAUGCAAGUCAGGGGCAGCACAAGGAGCAAUCUGAGGUGGCGACCGGCGCACGGGUGAGUAACACGUAUGCAACCUGCCUGUAAGCGGGGAAUAACCCGUUGAAAGACGGACUAAUACCGCAUAAUACUAAAUUACUGCAUGGUAAUUUAUUUAAACAUUUAUGGCUUACAGAUGGGCAUGCGCAUGAUUAGCUAGUUGGAGAGGUAACGGCUCCCCAAGGCAACGAUCAUUAGGGGUUCUGAGAGGAAGGUCCCCCACACUGGUACUGAGACACGGACCAGACUCCUACGGGAGGCAGCAGUGAGGAAUAUUGGUCAAUGGACGAGAGUCUGAACCAGCCAAGUCGCGUGCAGGAAGAAUGUCCCUAUGGAUUGUAAACUGCUUUUGCAGGGGAAUAAAGUGCAUCACGUGUGAUGUUUUGUAUGUACUCUGCGAAUAAGGAUCGGCUAACUCCGUGCCAGCAGCCGC